This 522-nucleotide ribosomal RNA is filed under the name Opitutia bacterium. RNAcentral describes it as "partial 23S ribosomal RNA". It matches the Rfam family "Bacterial large subunit ribosomal RNA", at positions 2408 to 2925 of the family's 2925-position model. Lineage: Bacteria; Pseudomonadati; Verrucomicrobiota; Opitutia. The record is from RNAcentral.
GGGCUUAGUGAUCCGACGGUUGCGUGUGGAAGCGCCGAAGCUCAACGGAUAAAAGGUACUCCGGGGAUAACAGGCUUAUAGUGCCCAAGCGCCCAUAGCGACGGCACUGUUUGGCACCUCGAUGUCGGCUCAGCGCAUCCUGGGGCUGGAAAAGGUCCCAAGGGUUUGGCUGUUCGUCAAUUAAAGCGCUACGCGAGCUGGGUUCAGAACGUCGUGAGACAGUUCGGUCCCUAUCCGCCGUGGGCGUAGGAUAUUUGAGGAGAUCUGUCCCUAGUACGAGAGGACCGGGAUGGACGAACCUCUGGUUUACCAGUUGUUUCGCCAGGAGCAUCGCUGGGUAGCUACGUUCGGAAGGGAUAAACGCUGAAGGCAUCUAAGCGUCAAGCCCACUUCAAGACUAAAUAUCCCGUGGGGUAAACCCACCUGAAGGCCCCUCGCAGACUACGAGGUUGAUAGGUUGCAGGUGAAAGCGCAGUGAUGCGUUUAGCCGAGCAAUACUAAUUGGCCGUGAGGCUUGGCCUC